Molecule: ribosomal RNA, 437 nt
Filed under: uncultured Oscillospiraceae bacterium
Lineage: Bacteria; Bacillati; Bacillota; Clostridia; Eubacteriales; Oscillospiraceae
Description: bacterial SSU rRNA
Rfam family: Bacterial small subunit ribosomal RNA
Source: RNAcentral
ACGGGAGGCAGCAGUGGGGAAUAUUGGGCAAUGGGGGAAACCCUGACCCAGCAACGCCGCGUGAAGGAAGAAGGCCUUCGGGUUGUAAACUUCUUUUACCAGGGACGAAGAACGUGACGGUACCUGGAGAAAAAGCCACGGCUAACUACGUGCCAGCAGCCGCGGUAAUACGUAUGGUGCAAGCGUUAUCCGGAUUUACUGGGUGUAAAGGGUGCGUAGGCGGCAUGGCAAGUCAGAUGUGAAAGACCGGGGCUCAACUCCGGGGCUGCAUUUGAAACUGCCAGGCUGGAGUACAGGAGAGGCAGGCGGAAUUCCUAGUGUAGCGGUGAAAUGCGUAGAUAUUAGGAGGAACACCAGUGGCGAAGGCGGCCUGCUGGACUGUUACUGACGCUGAGGCACGAAAGCGUGGGGAGCAAACAGGAUUAGAUACCCUGGUA